GCCUAGCCCUAUACAUAGACAGCACAAAUACAAUACUGUCCGCCAGAGAACUACAAGUGAAAAACUAGAAACUCAAAGGACUUGGCGGUGCCCCACAUCAACCUAGAGGAGCCUGUCCUAUAAUCGAUAAUCCACGCUGCACCUUACCAUUUCUUGAAACUCAGCCUAUAUACCGCCGUCGAAAGCCUACCUUAUGAAAGAAACAAAGUAGGCAAAAUAGUUAACAACUAAAACGUCAGGUCAAGGUGUAGCACAUGAAAUGGCAGAGAUGGGCUACAUUUUCUGUCCCAGAAAACACGAACAGCACAAUGAAAUCUGUACUCAAAGGUGGAUUUAGCAGUAAGGUAAAAAAGAAACUCUACCUUAAAUCCGCU
RNAcentral lists this ribosomal RNA (374 nucleotides) under Maracaiba meridensis. RNAcentral describes it as "Mabuya meridensis partial 12S ribosomal RNA". It matches the Rfam family "Bacterial small subunit ribosomal RNA", at positions 794 to 1372 of the family's 1533-position model. The record is from RNAcentral. Lineage: Eukaryota; Metazoa; Chordata; Lepidosauria; Squamata; Scincidae.